GAUGAACGCUGGCGGCGUGCCUAAUACAUGCAAGUCGAGCGAACAGACGAGGAGCUUGCUCCUCUGACGUUAGCGGCGGACGGGUGAGUAACACGUGGAUAACCUACCUAUAAGACUGGGAUAACUUCGGGAAACCGGAGCUAAUACCGGAUAAUAUAUUGAACCGCAUGGUUCAAUAGUGAAAGACGGUUUUGCUGUCACUUAUAGAUGGAUCCGCGCCGCAUUAGCUAGUUGGUAAGGUAACGGCUUACCAAGGCAACGAUGCGUAGCCGACCUGAGAGGGUGAUCGGCCACACUGGAACUGAGACACGGUCCAGACUCCUACGGGAGGCAGCAGUAGGGAAUCUUACGAAAUGGGCGAAAGCCUGACGGAGCAACGCCGCGUGAGUGAUGAAGGUCUUCGGAUCGUAAAACUCUGUUAUUAGGGAAGAACAAAUGUGUAAGUAACUAUGCACGUCUUGACGGUACCUAAUCAGAAAGCCACGGCUAACUACGUG
RNAcentral lists this ribosomal RNA (497 nucleotides) under uncultured bacterium. RNAcentral's name for it is "partial 16S ribosomal RNA". It matches the Rfam family "Bacterial small subunit ribosomal RNA", at positions 28 to 507 of the family's 1533-position model. The record is from RNAcentral.